GAUGAACGCUGGCGGCGUGCCUAAUACAUGCAAGUCGAGCGAACAGACGCUGAGCUUGCUCCUCUGACGUUAGCCGCGGACGGGAGAGAAACACGUGGAUCACCUACCUAUAAGACUGGGAUAACUUCGAGAAACCGGAGCUUAUACCGGAUAAUAUAUUGCACCGCAUGGUUCAAUGGUGAAAGACGGUUUUGGUGUCACUUAUAGAUGCUUCCGGGCCGCAUUAGCUAGUUGUUAAGGUAACGGCCUACCAAGGCAACCAUGCGUGACCGACGGGAGGGAGGGAUAGGCGACCCUGGAGGUGAGACAGCGUCCAGACGCCUACGGGAGGCAGCAGAAGGGAAUCGUCCGCAAAGGUCGAAAGCUUGACGGAGCAACGCCGCGUGAGUUAUGAAGGUCUUCGGAUCGUAAAACUCUGUUACUAGUGAAGAACAAAUGUGUAAGGAACUAUGCAGGUAUUGACGGUACCGAAUAAGAAAGCAACGGCUAACUACGUG
This 497-nucleotide ribosomal RNA is filed under the name uncultured bacterium. RNAcentral's name for it is "partial 16S ribosomal RNA". It matches the Rfam family "Bacterial small subunit ribosomal RNA", at positions 28 to 507 of the family's 1533-position model. The record is from RNAcentral.